Molecule: ribosomal RNA, 869 nt
Filed under: uncultured bacterium
Lineage: Bacteria
Description: bacterial SSU rRNA
Rfam family: Bacterial small subunit ribosomal RNA
Source: RNAcentral
GGGGGGGGGGGUGCUUACCAUGCAAGUCGAACGAUGAGAGGGAGCUUGCUCCCUGGAUUAGUGGCGAACGGGUGAGUAACACGUGAGUAACCUGCCCUUGACUCUGGGAUAAGCACUGGAAACGGUGUCUAAUACCGGAUACGAACUUCAGCCGCAUGGCUAGGAGUUGGAAAGAAUUUCGGUCAAGGAUGGACUCGCGGCCUAUCAGCUAGUUGGUGAGGUAAUGGCCCACCAAGGCGACGACGGGUAGCCGGCCUGAGAGGGUGACCGGCCACACUGGGACUGAGACACGGCCCAGACUCCUACGGGAGGCAGCAGUGGGGAAUAUUGCACAAUGGGCGCAAGCCUGAUGCAGCAACGCCGCGUGAGGGACGACGGCCUUCGGGUUGUAAACCUCUUUUAGUAGGGAAGAAGCGAAAGUGACGGUACCUGCAGAAAAAGCACCGGCUAACUACGUGCCAGCAGCCGCGGUAAUACGUAGGGUGCAAGCGUUAUCCGGAAUUAUUGGGCGUAAAGAGCUCGUAGGCGGUUUGUCGCGUCUGCUGUGAAAACUGGGGGCUCAACCCCCAGCCUGCAGUGGGUACGGGCAGACUAGAGUGCGGUAGGGGAGAUUGGAAUUCCUGGUGUAGCGGUGGAAUGCGCAGAUAUCAGGAGGAACACCAAUGGCGAAGGCAGAUCUCUGGGCCGUAACUGACGCUGAGGAGCGGAAGCAUGGGGAGCGAACAGGAUUAGAUACCCUGGUAGUCCAUGCCGUAAACGUUGGGAACUAGAUGUAGGGUCCAUUCCACGGAUUCUGUGUCGCAGCUAACGCAUUAAGUUCCCCGCCUGGGGAGUACGGCCGCAAGGCUAAAACUCAAAGGAAUUGACGG